GAAAAUGUGGCUUAGUGGUAGAGUGCUUGUCUUGCAUGCAUGAAGUCCUAGGUUCUAUUCCUCAAUACCA
Dipodomys ordii (Ord's kangaroo rat) is the source of this 70-nucleotide non-coding RNA. Lineage: Eukaryota; Metazoa; Chordata; Mammalia; Rodentia; Heteromyidae. The record is from Rfam.